CCUACGGGGUGCAGCAGUGGGGAAUAUUGGACAAUGGGCGAAAGCCUGAUCCAGCCAUGCCGCGUGUGUGAAGAAGGCCUUCGGGUUGUAAAGCACUUUCAGUGGGGAAGAAAGCCUUGGGGCUAAUACCCUCGAGGAAGGACAUCACCCACAGAAGAAGCACAGGCUAACUCAGUGCCAGCAGCCGCGGUAAUACGGAGGGUGCGAGCGUUAAUCGGAAUUACUGGGCGUAAAGCGCGCGUAGGCGGUCUGAUAAGCCGGUUGUGAAAGCCCCGGGCUCAACCUGGGAACGGCAUCCGGACCUGUCAGGCUAGAGUGCAGGAGAGGAAGGUAGAAUUCCCGGUGUAGCGGUGAAAUGCGUAGAGAUCGGGAGGAAUACCAGUGGCGAAGGCGGCCUUCUGGACUGACACUGACGCUGAGGUGCGAAAGCGUGGGUAGCAAACAGGAUUAGAUACCCCUGUAGUC
Molecule: ribosomal RNA, 465 nt
Filed under: Vreelandella stevensii
Lineage: Bacteria; Pseudomonadati; Pseudomonadota; Gammaproteobacteria; Oceanospirillales; Halomonadaceae
Description: partial 16S ribosomal RNA
Rfam family: Bacterial small subunit ribosomal RNA
Source: RNAcentral